CCUCCCCAAACCGAGACCGUCUCCUUCCCCUUCUCGUUCUCUAUCUCCUCCUCUUCCUCCUCCUCCGCCUCCUCCUCCUAUGGCUGCUCCAACCUAAAAUCCUCCCAACUCGACGCCUAAUCCUUGAGGGAAAGUAGCAAAACAGAACAAGGAGAGCGAGCACGGAGAGGUGUAUCUUCGAGGUGGAUUGGCCCUUUUCCCUCUCUUACCGUUGCCCUAGGGUUUGGGGAAAACCAAGUGGUAGUGCCUCGGAUCGCGCCUAAAGUGGUCAUCCCUUCAUUGGAGGUAAGUGAAUGUAGCAGUUGCGUUGCUACAACUUUAACAUUCUAUUUUUACUGCCUCCACUUAUAAAAUACAGCACUAAGUGAUAAUAUAACAAAUUUGGACAUGACUCAUAAUGAUUGGGUGAAGUAUGAAAUAUUGUUGCUAAUAUAAAUCUAGAGGUAACGUGGCCUUUUACUUCAAUAUGGGUGGAUAGAUAAAUAAGGUGGUCUAUAUGUGACGGAAUUUGAAUUUAUGGCUGGGGAUGAAAGUAUAUUUACAUAUAGCAUAUACUUAGUAAUUUAUCCUAUGACAUAUUUUUCUGUGAGUAAAAUCUAAGAAAUCCUUGGUGGUUUACUAGUGAGUGGACUUGUUUUAGUAGAGGUAUGUUAACCUUGGUGUAUGAAAACCUCUGUGGAAUUUACGCUACUUUAUGUCUCCUAGUGCUAUCAUGUGUGGAUAAAUUGAAGUUUGGAUUACGAGCAAGGUUCGAAGUAGUUUCUUACUAUUAUUUGGUAUAUGUGUUCAAAUAUAUGAAAUAAAUCUUGGGUUGACUGGCUCUCCUUAGAAAUAUUUGUUAUAUGAUAGAUAUGCUUGGGGCUUGAAUUAUGAAAUUUGUAUGUUUAAAUUGAUAAUGGCUACAUGCUACUUAUUUCUGUUAAGACUAAGGAGAUCUAUAGAUAUGAUAGUACGAAUAAUUGUUUGGUUGAUGUUUUCAACAUAUGAUUAUUCAGUCAUGGUUGAUUGAUGUUUGCAACAUAUGAUUAUUCAGUCAUGGUUCGUUAAUGUUCGGAACAUAUGAUUAUUCAGUUAUGGUUGGUGUUGUUUAUGUUGAGAGAGUAUUGUUUGCAUUUCAGGCAUUAACUAUCGUGGAUUAUUCUCUUCUUUCAUCAUGGAGUGCAGAGUAUUUGAAUUUGGAGUAUAUGUUAUCUGGCUUUGGCUUUGGAGAUCUUGUUGCAUUGCAUUUCAUUGCACUACAUUACAUGGUAUUUGGAGUUAUGUCGCGAACCUAUGGUUGCGACCGUACCGGUAUAACAUCGUUUAUUGGGCAUAAUGAUGCAUCUUCAUACCAUGUUGGGUAUGAAGGCAGGAGUUCAUAUGCAUCCAUAUGCAUACAUCAUUGAUUUGGCAUAGAGACGCAGCUUCAUACCUUAUUGGGUAUGAAGGUAGGAGUUCAUAUGCAUACAUCAUUGGUUUGGCAUAGAGAUGCAACUUCAUACCUUGAUGUGUAUGAAGGCAGGAGUUCAUUUGCAUUGAUAUGCAUAUUUUCUAGGCUUAAUGUUGGAUGUGAUGGAGGUAUGUUGGUAUAAA
Molecule: long non-coding RNA, 1572 nt
Organism: Panicum virgatum (switchgrass)
Lineage: Eukaryota; Viridiplantae; Streptophyta; Magnoliopsida; Poales; Poaceae
Exons: 2
Source: RefSeq, a predicted model, not a curated record